Molecule: ribosomal RNA, 84 nt
Filed under: Acrocalymma vagum
Lineage: Eukaryota; Fungi; Ascomycota; Dothideomycetes; Pleosporales; Acrocalymmaceae
Description: 5.8S ribosomal RNA
Source: RNAcentral
AUGCCUGUUCGAGCGUCAUUUGAACCCUCAAGCUUUGCUUGGUGUUGGGUGUUUGUCCCGCUUUUGCGCGUGGACUCGCCUUAA